GAUGAACGCUAGCGGCAGGCUUAACACAUGCAAGUCGAGGGGUAUAGGUUUUCGGACCUAGAGACCGGCGCACGGGUGCGUAACGCGUAUGCAAUCUACCUUUCACAGAGGGAUAGCCCAGAGAAAUUUGGAUUAAUACCUCAUAGUAUUAUGAAGUGGCAUCAUUUUAUAAUUAAAGUUCCAACGGUGAAAGAUGAGCAUGCGUCCCAUUAGCUAGAUGGUAAGGUAACGGCUUACCAUGGCGACGAUGGGUAGGGGUCCUGAGAGGGAGAUCCCCCACACUGGUACUGAGACACGGACCAGACUCCUACGGGAGGCAGCAGUGAGGAAUAUUGGUCAAUGGACGCAAGUCUGAACCAGCCAUGCCGCGUGCAGGAUGACGGUCCUAUGGAUUGUAAACUGCUUUUGUACGAGAAGAAACACUCCUUCGUGAAGGAGCUUGACGGUAUCGUAAGAAUAAGGAUCGGCUAACUCCGUGCCAGCAGCCGCUGUAA
Molecule: ribosomal RNA, 494 nt
Filed under: uncultured bacterium
Lineage: Bacteria
Description: partial 16S ribosomal RNA
Rfam family: Bacterial small subunit ribosomal RNA
Source: RNAcentral